GAGUGUCACAGUUGAAGAAACACUGAUAUACAUAACCCCUUUCACUCUUUUAAUUGGGCAGAUAUGAAGAAUAUGAAGGACUGUACGGCGACAAGUGAUGCAGUGUGUACAUGUGAGGAGGGCUACAGAUGCAGUGACAGCAAAUGCCAGACGUGUGAGAAAAUUCAGACAACUACUGUUACUACUUCUACUCCUUCUACUAAAACAAUACCGCCCACCCAUGACAUGCACGACCAUGUGGAUGGAUCAUGUCAACAUCAAUCGGUCUCUGCCCCUCCAACAAGAGCAUCUUUGGAUCCAGUCAGUGCACAGAGGAAGAGGAGGUACCAAUGCCAGUGCAGGAGGUGUGUGGAAAGACUGAAAAACUGGAGGAUGUCUGAGAAAAGAGCAGGAAGAAGACCGCUGAUGCGUCUAUGGAUUGAGUAUUUACUCUAAUACAAACCUGCUGCUGCCAUUUACGCAAGAGAAAAUCUGCACUCAGGUGGCCCAUAUGAAGGAUCUGUGAGAAUGACUGUCCAUCCUGAGAAAUGCUGAGAUAGAGAGAGGUUUGAGUUGCCACUGCACAUAAGGAGACACUCAACAUACAACAUAAGGGCUUAUCUUUUUCAACAAAUGAAGGUUUUAUUCUCUGCACGCUUGUUUGUAUUUAUAAUCGAGUAGUUUUUGCACAACAAGCCCAUGGACUUUUUAAAAUCAAGAUUUGAUGUUCAAAUGUAUACGAAUGU
Molecule: long non-coding RNA, 725 nt
Filed under: Sinocyclocheilus grahami
Lineage: Eukaryota; Metazoa; Chordata; Actinopteri; Cypriniformes; Cyprinidae
Description: lncRNA (ENSSGRG00000054967.1)
Source: RNAcentral